Molecule: transfer RNA, 71 nt
Filed under: Saccharomyces cerevisiae (brewer's yeast)
Lineage: Eukaryota; Fungi; Ascomycota; Saccharomycetes; Saccharomycetales; Saccharomycetaceae
Source: RNAcentral
ACCCAUUUCUCAGAGUGGUAAAAUCCAACGUUGCCAUCGUUGGGCCCCCGGUUCGAUUCCGGGCUUGCGCA